ACCCUACUCAAGAGUCCCAUACUUCGACCAAGCAGCUAUUUAAUGCAUUCUGGUUUAUAAAGAUAACUUAACUGAAAUUAGUCCGUGACGAAUAUAAUCAAGAAAUGGAUGUACCUAGGAUGCAGGUACAAAAAGUCCGAAAUAGGACGAAACGCGCGUCCUGGAU
Molecule: non-coding RNA, 166 nt
Filed under: Schistosoma mattheei
Lineage: Eukaryota; Metazoa; Platyhelminthes; Trematoda; Strigeidida; Schistosomatidae
Source: RNAcentral